Molecule: ribosomal RNA, 492 nt
Filed under: uncultured bacterium
Lineage: Bacteria
Description: partial 16S ribosomal RNA
Rfam family: Bacterial small subunit ribosomal RNA
Source: RNAcentral
AGUGAACGCUGGCGGUAGGCCUAACACAUGCAAGUCGAACGGCAGCACAGUAAGAGCUUGCUCUUACGGGUGGCGAGUGGCGGACGGGUGAGGAAUACAUCGGAAUCUACUUUUUCGUGGGGGAUAACGUAGGGAAACUUACGCUAAUACCGCAUACGACCUACGGGUGAAAGCAGGGGAUCCUCGGACCUUGCGCGAUUGAAUGAGCCGAUGUCGGAUUAGCUAGUUGGCGGGGUAAAGGCCCACCAAGGCGACGAUCCGUAGCUGGUCUGAGAGGAUGAUCAGCCACACUGGAACUGAGACACGGUCCAGACUCCUACGGGAGGCAGCAGUGGGGAAUAUUGGACAAUGGGCGCAAGCCUGAUCCAGCCAUACCGCGUGGGUGAAGAAGGCCUUCGGGUCGUAAAGCCCUUUUGUUGGGAAAGAAAAGCAGCAGGUUAAUACCCCGCUGUUCUGACGGUACCCAAAGAAUAAGCACCGGCUAACUUCGUG